Stomoxys calcitrans (stable fly) is the source of this 2121-nucleotide long non-coding RNA. RefSeq lists it as uncharacterized. The transcript is spliced from 3 exons. The record is from RefSeq and is a predicted model, not a curated record. Lineage: Eukaryota; Metazoa; Arthropoda; Insecta; Diptera; Muscidae.
CCGCUUUCUAGUAAUGAGGGCCUUCAGUGCUACUGAAUGAAUGUCUAAAAAAUGUAAACACGAAAAAUAUUGAUUUUCGUCGCGAAAAGCGAACUUGGUACAAACCUUUAUACACUAAUUUGUGGUCAACUGACGGAGGUGCGGUGGGAAUGUACCCCUAAAAUAAUCCUAAUACAAAGAUCAGAACAAAUUAAUAUGGUGUAUUCUAAAUUUCACAUUCCCUUUCACCCUUUGAACAACUUUCUAUUGUCACAAUUACGUCAACUUGGUCUCACACCGUUAAAGCCUCACAUAUUUUAUUGCUUGUAGGUGUACUGUGGCAUUAAUUUACAGCACUUAAAAAUACAACUCAUUGUCUUUAAUCGAGUAGUACGAUAUAUUUUUGGACUCAAAUUAAGUGGCCAUGUGUCUGAUCGCUAGAGAAUUUCUCCACUGCUCUUUUAAACAUUUUUUGAUAAUAAAACAUAUAUUGUCAUUGUACCAUUUAAAGACAACCCAAGAACCUUGAGAAGUUACCGAUUUGUUUAAUUUUUUGCGAUCUGCCAACUUUGCGAAGUCAUCAAUCUGUGAAGCAUGAUCUUCCAGAUGGCAAUACCAGAUUUCUGUCAAUCCAACUAUGACGAUGGCAGCAGUGUCCCGCACUCGACCUUAAGUGUCGUCUUUCAGGUUCCCUAUCGUCGCCUCGAUUAUAUCACGAUAGUAUAACCUGUUCCUAUCCUAUAUCCAUUCUCGCAAGACAACCUCGUGACCAGCAGAUUUCAGUCUUCUCUGGGUUAACAUUGAACCCCCUAGAUCCAGCCCAGUCGUAUGCAAUCUCCAGGACCCUUUCGGUACUUCUACAUAGCUGUUUCGAAUCCUUACCCCUUAGAAAUAUUAUAACAUCGUGCGUAGCAGACGGAUUCAAAUCCCUCCUCAGUCAGGAUCCGUAAUAGGUUAUUUAUGGUGGGGUCCCAUAGAUGUGGCUAUAAAAUGGAUAUCUUAAGAUCGAAUUCUUUAUUUUAAAAUUUAGAUACACUUAUAAAAAGAUUUGAAUCGAUUAUUUUUUAUUUAGACUCGUAAACUCGUAUUCAAUUACAAAAAUAAAUCAACUAAUUUUUUAGUUGAAUACAUUUUAUUUAACAUUAAAAAAAUUUUUGCAAUUUUUUUGUGUAUCCGUCGUGUAAAAAAAAACCUGAGAUUCAAAUUUAUUUAAUCAAAUGUCGGGUGCGGCAGCUGAUUGUACGUUCCGGAUUGAGCCGAUGCAGUACUUCUUUGGCAAGGGUUCCCGCCUCAGUGUACAAAACACAGCUACAACAACAACAACAACUGACCCACCAGUGAAAACGAAACUCAUAACUGCCCCGAAUAUUUUUAUCUUUAAAAAUUCGCCACUAUAAUGAUAUGUUUUAAACAGUCCGCAAUCUCACCUAGCCUUUACAAAGGAUCGUUCAAAUACAGUGUGAGAUAAACCUUCGGUGCGAAUUUCGUGUUGAAUUAAAAUUGGACAUUAAAGAAUAAGCUAAGGCAUCUUUUAAAACGUGUUGAAUGGACACCCAAAGUACUGAUUAGAAAAGUAUGUAGUUUUACAUGCAACGACAACCGAGGAUAUGUCGCAGCAUUUCGUGAAAGCUCUGAAGGGUUUUGUUUGAACGCUGCCUUGAUUUGGACAGACGCAUGGAGGGAGGUGGUGGUUAUUACAAUUCGUUGCAAUAACUUGGUAUAUUUUUUUCUUUCAUUCGUUAUUGUUAUCUCUUUUAAUUAAUAUUUACCACGUUCCUAAUUAAAAUGUAUUCACGAAAUCCAGUUACAAAGAGCAUGUUUGAUGUAUAAAAAGAGUACUAUUUUGGAAAACUGUAAUCAUUUUACAAUGUUGCUAAACCAUGACUUCAUUUGGGUGACCAAAUCCUUGAUAAAAAGUAUUGUAAUUGUGGUUGCCGUUUAUGGUGCCCACACUGACCGCAGGUUAUUCGCCGUAGAUGGAUGAUAUUGGCAUAGCUCCAAUCGCUUCCCAAUUUGAAGAACACACAUAGAUUUAUGGGGAUGAAGACAAUAUUUUGACCUUUCAAAUCGAUUUUUAUUUUUCCAAAUAUGUAAUAAAUUCAUAAUUAAAAAAAAAAGUCCUCUGGAUUCAAAUUUAGAUAA